AUUGAACGCUGGCGGAAUGCUUUACACAUGCAAGUCGAGCGGCAGCACGGGGGCAACCCUGGUGGCGAGCGGCGAACGGGUGAGUAAUACAUCGGAACAUGCCCAGUCGUGGGGGAUAACACUUCGAAAGAAGUGCUAAUACCGCAUACGUCCUGAGGGGGAAAGCGGGGGAUCGCAAGACCUCGCGCGAUUGGAGUGGCCGAUGUCAGAUUAGCUAGUUGGUGGGGUAAAGGCCUACCAAGGCAACGUUCUGUAGCUGGUCUGAGAGGAUGAUCAGCCACACUAGAAGUGAAAAACGGCACAGACUCCUACGGGAGGCAGGAGUGGGGAAGUUUGGACAAGGGGGGCAAGCCUGAUCCAGCCAUUCCGAGUGAGUGAAGAUGGCCUUCGAGUUGUAAAGCGCUUUCGCCGGGAACGAAACGGUUAGCUCUAACAUAGCUAGCUAAUGGCGGUACCUGAAGAGGAAGCACCGGCUAGCUACGGG
Molecule: ribosomal RNA, 484 nt
Filed under: uncultured bacterium
Lineage: Bacteria
Description: partial 16S ribosomal RNA
Rfam family: Bacterial small subunit ribosomal RNA
Source: RNAcentral